This 92-nucleotide transfer RNA is filed under the name bacterium. RNAcentral's name for it is "tRNA-Ser". It matches the Rfam family "tRNA". Rfam says of the family: Transfer RNA (tRNA) molecules are approximately 80 nucleotides in length. The record is from RNAcentral. RNAcentral also lists the same sequence under 1 other name.
GGAGGGGUGGCCGAGUUUGGCUGAAGGCGCUCGCCUCGAAAGCGAGUAAACGGGUAACCGUUUCGUGGGUUCGAAUCCCACCUCCUCCGCCA